AUUUUAGUAGCCAAAAGCUUUAUUUGCCGUUGGAUGGGAGAUGUGUUGCCCCAGAGUUAAGGGGCAUGCACAUUCUCCCAGAAAGUAAACCAUCAUUCAUCAGCCUUGGUACACAAGUUCGAAAUGGAAAAAACAUAACUACAUCAUAGGUAUAGCAGUAAAUGGUCUCUCUCAUGCUAAACAAAAACUCACUUUUCCAUAUUCAAAUGAGAUGCUGGUCUUAAGUAGUUUUGUCCCCCUAUCCUGGUGCCUUUGGUGUCAAAAUGAGACAUCAAGUAUGAAGCUUUUAGGCAUACAGAUCUAUGCCCCAAAACUUUGCAGGUUGGUUGGUCCUAUAGUUGCGGUCCAAACUUUUGAUGAGGUCCAUGUCUUCUUUGGUGAUCUCGAAGUCAAGUACGUUGAAAUUCUCCUGCAGUCUCUCCAGUUUUGAUGAUUUCGGAAUCACAACUGUGUUUCGUUGGAUGCCCCAGCGCAGAAUGACCUGGGCCACAGUCUUCUUAUAUUUCUCAGCUAGACCUUUUGGAGCCGGAUCCUCCAGGCAUGACACUGAACCAAACCACUCAGUAUUAGCGGCAGCACCACCGAGUGGGGUGUGUGCUGUAACACAGAUGCCAUGCUUUUGGCAAAAUUUGACAAGAGAUUCACGCUGGAAAUAAGGAUGAGUCUCGAUUUGAUUCACAGCAGGCUUCACUUUGGAAUAUGCUAGGCAAUCUCGGGUGAGAAAGAUGUCGUAGUUGCUGAUUCCUAUGCUGCGAACCAAGCCCAAGGAUACUAGAUUUUCCAUUCCGUGCCAAGUAGUCUCCAAUGAUAUGGUGGUAUCUAUAUCAAGAACACCAUCCUCACCCAAAGCACUAGCUGUUGUACCAACUCCUGUAUGUUUUGUGGCUACAGGGAAGUGAACAAGGUAGAGAUCCAGAUAAUCCAGGCGUAACUUCUUAAGACUGUCUUUACAGGCCUCAAGAACAUGACCAUGGUCUGAGUUCCAAAGCUUUGUUGUAAUGAAAAGAUCCUCCCUCUUCACGAGCCCUGUCUGAAAUGCUUCUGCGAGUGCUUCCCCAACUUCAGCUUCAUUUUGAUAGUCAGCAGCACAAUCAAAGUGACGGUAGCCAAUCUUGAUGGCGUUGAUGAGAAGAUCUUUCAUAUCUUUUCCUUCCAUUCGCCAAACACCCAAUCCCACAAUCGGCAUCUUGUAGCCGCUGUUCAGUGUUAUCGCCAUUUCUGCUCUCUCUGUGUGUGUUGUUUCUCUUUGAUUGCUUGAAAGUUGAA
RNAcentral lists this unclassified non-coding RNA (1266 nucleotides) under Hevea brasiliensis (rubber tree). Lineage: Eukaryota; Viridiplantae; Streptophyta; Magnoliopsida; Malpighiales; Euphorbiaceae. The record is from RNAcentral.